GACGAAGGGGGCUAGCGUUGUUCGGAAUUACUGGGCGUAAAGCGAGUGUAGGCGGUUGUUAUAGUCAGGUGUGAAAGCCUUGAGCUCAACUCAAGAAAUGCACUUGAUACUGAACGACUAGAGUACCGGAGAGGAUAGUGGAAUUCCCAGUGUAGUGGUGAAAUACGUAGAGAUUGGGAAGAACACCAGUGGCGAAGGCGGCUAUCUGGACGGUUACUGACGCUAAGACUCGAAAGCGUGGGGAGCAAACAGG
This 253-nucleotide ribosomal RNA is filed under the name uncultured bacterium. RNAcentral's name for it is "partial 16S ribosomal RNA". It matches the Rfam family "Bacterial small subunit ribosomal RNA", at positions 524 to 776 of the family's 1533-position model. The record is from RNAcentral.